Molecule: transfer RNA, 75 nt
Filed under: Lolliginicoccus lacisalsi
Lineage: Bacteria; Bacillati; Actinomycetota; Actinomycetes; Mycobacteriales; Hoyosellaceae
Description: Hoyosella lacisalsi tRNA-Val
Rfam family: tRNA
About the family: Transfer RNA (tRNA) molecules are approximately 80 nucleotides in length. Their secondary structure includes four short double-helical elements and three loops (D, anti-codon, and T loops).
Source: RNAcentral
GGGCGUAUAGCUCAGCGGUAGAGCGCUGCUCUUACACAGCAGUGGUCGGGGGUUCAAAUCCCUCUGCGCCCACCA